GAUAUACAGUAGAGAGGAGAUAGAACGGAAGGAACAAGGAAAGAAUAGAAAAAAUCCUUAGUGCCGCAUCACUCACAUUGGACAGCAAAUUCACACACUUAGUGAUCUUUCUUCUUAAUUUCCUUCCAUAACACCCAACCUUUUUCCUCUGCGAUUGGUUGACAAGUUGAUCUCCAUAUUGUUGCCUACUAAUCGAAAUCACCCAAAAACUUCGUCUCUACCCGUUUUGGUCUCCAUCUCUUUCUUUCGUUCUCAAGAUUAAUAAAGGUAUAAAUCAUGGGUUGAGUUCAGUAAGAUGUCCGACGAGGCUCUCCGGUGGAGAUCUUGUUCGCGGUUUUGUCACUUUUGCGUUUCUAAGCUGCCACUCAUUUAAAUUUCAAAUUCAUUUAAGGUCCAUCUGCUUUGCUCAUUAUGUGGGAUUGAUUCACGAGUUAAGCCGAUAUCUAGUUCAAGUAAUUUGGCCGUAAAGUGUUGAGUUGAAGCAAACCUUUGGUUUAAUAAAUGGUGUACUUCAUCCACAAAGUUAUUUUCAUAAUUCAUGGUCUCACAACAAUCUCAAAUUAGUUUAGGAAAUAAUUAAUUAUGAACAUUCAUGGUUUGUUUUAGUUGAAUACAUUCUUUUGAAGCAAGUUGAGGUGCGCCAUUCGCUAGAAAACUCCAUAACCCUUGACCCUCACUUAAUUAAUUUUAAUCCUUUAGAAAUCGGAGUGUGACAUUUAGUUGAA
Nicotiana tabacum (common tobacco) is the source of this 725-nucleotide long non-coding RNA. RefSeq lists it as uncharacterized. The record is from RefSeq and is a predicted model, not a curated record. NCBI's taxonomy places the organism in Eukaryota, Viridiplantae, Streptophyta, Magnoliopsida, Solanales, Solanaceae.